UUACGGCCAUAUGAUGCUGAAACACCGAUUUCCGUACGAUCAACGAAGUUAAGCAACAUCGAGCCUAGUCAGUAUCAAGUUGGGUGUCCAUUUGAGAUGAGCUGGUGUU
Non-coding RNA from Acanthosepion pharaonis, 109 nucleotides. Lineage: Eukaryota; Metazoa; Mollusca; Cephalopoda; Sepiida; Sepiidae. The record is from the annotation of a GenBank genome assembly.